RNAcentral lists this ribosomal RNA (462 nucleotides) under uncultured bacterium. RNAcentral's name for it is "partial 16S ribosomal RNA". It matches the Rfam family "Bacterial small subunit ribosomal RNA", at positions 28 to 507 of the family's 1533-position model. The record is from RNAcentral.
GACGAACGCUGGCGGCGUGCUUAACACAUGCAAGUCGAACGGUAAGGCCUUUCGGGGUACACGAGUGGCGAACGGGUGAGUAACACGUGGGUGAUCUGCCCUGCACUUCGGGAUAAGCCCGGGAAACUGGGUCUAAUACCGGAUAGGACUGCGCGGUGCAUGCCGUGUGGUGGAAAGAUUUAUCGGUGCAGGAUGGGCCCGCGGCCUAUCAGCUUGUUGGUGGGGUAAUGGCCUACCAAGGCGACGACGGGUAGCCGGCCUGAGAGGGCGACCGGCCACACUGGGACUGAGACACGGGCCAGACUCCUACGGGAGGCAGCAGUGGGGAAUUUUGCACGAUGGGCGCAAGCCGGAUGCAGCGACGCCGCGUGGGGGAUGACGGCCUUCGGGUUGUAAACCUCUUUCAGCAGGGACGAAGCGUGAGUGACGGUACCUGCAGAAGAAGCACGGGCCAACUACGUG